AUCAGGGUAUUUCCUGAAACCUGUUACCCCUGUUACUUCAUCACAUCUUCCUGAGGUCUAUAUAACAGAACAUCUAAGAUCAAAUUCAGCAGGCGACCACAACACAACUUCUAGUGGAGGAUUCAGGCGAGCUUAGCAAAUGGGAUCACUUGUUUAUCUAAGUGCCUUCCUGAUCAGCUUUCUGCUUUCCAGCCCUUUCUCUGGAGUUAGUGCUGACACCUGUGCCAGAAAGUGGCUACAGUACCAGGGCAACUGCUAUGGGUAUUUUGAGGCCAAGAAGACAUGGGAAGAA
This is a long non-coding RNA of Candoia aspera, 292 nucleotides long. RefSeq lists it as uncharacterized. Lineage: Eukaryota; Metazoa; Chordata; Lepidosauria; Squamata; Candoiidae. The transcript has 3 exons. The record is from RefSeq and is a predicted model, not a curated record.